CGCCAGGGGAUGCAAACCCUUCUGCCCCUUUUUGCUACCCCUGAAGCUUACUGUUAGUGGUCGAGUUUUUCUGGAAGUGGGCUUCCGCGAUCGCGGGGACCAACGCCCUGAGCUCUUGUGCCCAAAGGGGAUCGCCAGGUUUUUUGAUGCGGAUCGAAAGGGACUGGCCCCGGAGCCUACAACCUGACGCAGGUGGGACUUGGGGAAAUGUCGAGAAACCUAGGUCUGGGACUUGAGUUGGCUUCCAGGGCACACAUUCUUGUUCAGAAGAAACACAUUGCAAAAAUCGGGAGGUGACGGGCAGAUGAAGUGUCGGCGCUUCGCCUCGGGACUCCAGUGCAACCUAUGGGGCUUUUGGAAAUGAGGAAGUCGAUGACUCUGCAGGGACUCCUCUGACCCAGGAGCAGAUGGCGCUCGUCUGGGCACUCCCCAGGAGAAAAGGUGCAUCGGGAAGCAGCCUGGCUUGUGGAUGGUGGACAAGGUGGAGGAGAGAGAAUUCCUUGGCAGUAGCAUUAUGAACAAAUGCAGGGCUGAGAAACAGCAUGGUGGCCUUGACUAAGUUUAUGGCGACAGCAGUUGGGGUAACAUGUGACCUGGAUCUGAUCAUUGUGAUUCAAGUCAGCGUCAUUUAGGGUUUUCGGGAAACAUUUUUUGAAAGGGAGCAACUUGGCUGGAACACUCCAUCAAUU
Molecule: long non-coding RNA, 689 nt
Filed under: Homo sapiens (human)
Lineage: Eukaryota; Metazoa; Chordata; Mammalia; Primates; Hominidae
Description: non-protein coding lnc-HIST1H2AI-3:1
Source: RNAcentral